CCUACGGGAGGCUGCAGUGGGGAAUAUUGCGCAAUGGGCGAAAGCCUGACGCAGCGACGCCGCGUGAGGGAUGAAGGUCUUCGGAUCGUAAACCUCUGUCAGCAGGGAAGAACGGUCACUGUGCUAAUCAGCAGUGAAUUGACGGUACCUGCAAAGGAAGCACCGGCUAACUCCGUGCCAGCAGCCGCGGUAAUACGGAGGGUGGGAGCGUUAAUCGGAAUUACUGGGCGUAAAGCGCUCGUAGGCGGUAUGUCAAGUCAAGGGUGAAAUCCCCGGGCUCAACGUUGGAACUGCCUUUGAAACUGGCAAACUGGAGUGUGUGAGAGGAUAGUGGAAUUCCAGGUGUAGGAGUGAAAUGCGUAGAUAUCUGGAGGAACAUCAGUGGCGAAGGCGACUAUCUGGCACAUAACUGACGCUGAGGAGCGAAAGCGUGGGUAGCAAACAGGAUUAGAUACCCGAGUAGUC
Molecule: ribosomal RNA, 465 nt
Filed under: uncultured bacterium
Lineage: Bacteria
Description: partial 16S ribosomal RNA
Rfam family: Bacterial small subunit ribosomal RNA
Source: RNAcentral